GCUUAUAAACAGUCAAAUAUUAAAUGUAUACGCCAACAGAGGGAGUGAGCGUCGCCGUAGUAGGGACGACAUCCGUCGGCCGAAUCGCCUCGGAAAGAAACUAGAUAGUUGUGUGGCGUUCACCGUACUGCUGUGUAUCGUAACGGGUCGUUGUUUUUACUUAGAUUUUGAGUCUACUCGUUAUUUAUUAAUUAAGAUUUUUAAUAUUAUAAACGAAUUGUUCAUAUUUUAUGCCCGAAGUUAACACAAGUAACUGUCUUGAUCCUUGACUACUAGAUCAAGAAAAUGAUUCUAAUUUAUAAUUUUUAACUUUCAUUUUUUUCAUUUUACCUGAUAUUUUUACUUCAUAAAAACUAUAAAAUAUGAUUUUAUAAGUUAAUAUUGACGAAUAAUACAACUUAACAUUUUUUCGUAUUGAAAAGGAGCGAUUUUCAGUUGUUGUGCAAAUGUAUUCUUUAGUUAAACUCAUAAUACAUUUGAAUUCCUUCUACAAAACAUUCUGGUACAUUUGUACUAUCUUUUAUGGCUUAUCAUAAUUAUUAUUUAUUAUCAUCUGUUAUCUAUGUUUUGCAGUUCUACAUUCGUUUUUGUAUUUAAGUUUCAAUUGUAAAUUCCUUUCAUGUAUUUUGUAUAAAAAUGAAGUUUGUCUGUUAGUUUAUGUUUUGAUAGUUUCCACUUCUGAAUUACUCAGUGUUGUCCACGUACUAGUUGUUAUAUAAAAAUUGUCGUUCUCCUUAUGGUAUCUAGUAGUGACGUUUUGUCCUCCAACCAUUAUACAGAUUUAACUUACUAUUUUUUUUUAGAUGGCUGUACACCAGAUAUACUCAGGACAUAUUGAUACAUGAAUUACCAUUUCUACCACAUGGGAAAGUUUCAACAUCCUACGUUGAAAAUGGACUGGACGAUCCUGAUAAUAAUAAUAGUUUUAUGCAUAAUUGACGUAUGUCAGAUCACUCAAGGCAUGCAGAAACAUGAAUUCACAUUUCUACCACUUAAGAAAGUAUCAACAUCCUAUGCUGAAAAUGGACUAGAAGAUACUGCUAAUAAUAUUGGGUUUAUGUAAUGUGCGUGUAAGGGUUAUUGAAUAUAAUUGAUAGUAAAUUAAUGGCAGUGAAACAAUUGAGAUUCGUUAAUAAUCUGAAUAAAAUUUUAGUUAACACCUUUGACUUGUAAUUUUCAUUCAUAAGAGUUACCAUUAUUAACUUGUAUACAUUUCAUUUGAGCUGA
Long non-coding RNA from Rhopalosiphum padi (bird cherry-oat aphid), 1227 nucleotides. RefSeq lists it as uncharacterized. NCBI's taxonomy places the organism in Eukaryota, Metazoa, Arthropoda, Insecta, Hemiptera, Aphididae. The record is from RefSeq and is a predicted model, not a curated record. The transcript has 2 exons.